GACGGUAGCGAAGAACCAUUUGUCGGUUGAGGUUCAAAUUUUAGAGUCCGCAUGUUAUUGAAAGGCGCAGUAAGGGGUGGGCGUAUUGAAGAGGUAGGAUCAGAUUUCCUGACUGGUCUAUUUUAAGUGACGUCUUAACAGACAUCACAGUGUUGCACUUCUAAACAACUGUCCUUUAAUAAGCAUUCGAAAUGCAGGUAUAAUUUUACUAAAAGUUGAAGCGCAUACAAUAUUAACAAUGGAAAGAUGAAUAUAACUGGUUCGAGAGGCCGUUUUUUUUUGUUUUUUUUUUAAUUAAAGAGUAUUAUACAGGCUGGGAUUUCACUUAGCCUUAUUAACGUGGUUUUCUUUUAAGGUACACUCAUUCUGGUUGUGUCGAUAGUGGUUCCUUCCAUCGCUGUGAUUGCCGUAGUGGUCAUCGUCAUUUACUGCGUUAACAAGAAAAGGAAAUCAAGACCAUCAAUCAGCGACAAGAAUGAUUCCGACGAGAAUCCCUUGGAUGGAAACCAGGCAGAUUACAAAGAAAUGAAAGAAGUCAGCCCAGGUGCCCACUACCCGCUAUUGGAAUCCAAAUGUAAGCCAGAUGACGAGGGGAUAAAACCUGCCAACAAGUGAGAUACCCCCUGUUAGGCUCAUCAGCGAUAAUCUUGAGUAGCUGUUAGUCGCAGGAUUGAGCUAUUGGAAUUUUCCUUCAAGGAAACAGUUUAAUUAAACUAGCUCUUUUAAAAAACAGUUUCUCAUCUGAUAGAAGGAGAACUUAGUAUCAGGCUAUUUAAAUGUGAGAGUAAUGUCAUCUGCACUACAGAGCUGAACACUGGGUGAUGCCUCAGCUGUCACUGAUUUUCAGUUUUGCGCCCCUGCGCAUAAAGCUUAAGCAAACUGACGAGUGGUAGAGUGCCGACAGUCUGUUUAACUCUCAAAAUUCAGAAGGGAAUUGUAAGACGAGACGCUUUAGCCUAAAGAGGUAUGGGACGAGACGUGGGCGUGGCACGAACGCCUCAUUCCCUACUCGGCCAUACCGCCCUUUUGCGCUCUCAUUGGCUAAACACUCGUCUAAGUGACCCUAAGAGAAAAAACUGGCUGUCAGCAGUCUAGAUGAUUGAAAAAUACAGGUAUCGUGUACAGGUGAUUUUGCAAAAGAGCACAAGGAUAAUGCUGACAGAAGGGGUUGAAAGGACAAGAGAGUUUGAAAUCCCUCAUAUAGGCCUUAUUCUCAAGAUAAUCCCUCUUAAGUUAUUUUUAGGUAUAGUAUCCAGUCCUCCGCGGAUAACAUGCGCUCUUUCACAGGAUUUUAGACAAUUUUGUCAUUUCUGAAGCCGGGAGUGAUUUGAUAAGGCCUACAUAAGAAAUAAACUCUUCUACCUUCAU
Long non-coding RNA from Orbicella faveolata, 1368 nucleotides. The record is from RefSeq and is a predicted model, not a curated record. NCBI's taxonomy places the organism in Eukaryota, Metazoa, Cnidaria, Anthozoa, Scleractinia, Merulinidae.